RNAcentral lists this ribosomal RNA (520 nucleotides) under uncultured Glomus. RNAcentral describes it as "SSU rRNA". It matches the Rfam family "Eukaryotic small subunit ribosomal RNA", at positions 569 to 1091 of the family's 1831-position model. Lineage: Eukaryota; Fungi; Glomeromycota; Glomeromycetes; Glomerales; Glomeraceae. The record is from RNAcentral.
AGCAGCCGCGGUAAUUCCAGCUCCAAUAGCGUAUAUUAAAGUUGUUGCAGUUAAAAAGCUCGUAGUUGAAUUUCGGGGUUAGUAGGUUGGUCGUGCCACUGGUACGUACUGGUCUCACUGACUCCUCCUUCCUGAUGAACUGUAAUGCCAUUAAUUUGGUGUUGCGGGGAAACUGGACUGUUACUUUGAAAAAAUUAGAGUGUUUAAAGCAAGCUAACGCUUGAAUACAUUAGCAUGGAAUAAUGAAAUAGGACGUUCGAUCCUAUUUUGUUGGUUUCUAGGAUUGACGUAAUGAUUAAUAGGGAUAGUUGGGGGCAUUAGUAUUCAAUUGUCAGAGGUGAAAUUCUUGGAUUUAUUGAAGACUAACUACUGCGAAAGCAUUUGCCAAGGAUGUUUUCAUUAAUCAAGAACGAAAGUUAGGGAUCGAAGACGAUCAGAUACCGUCGUAGUCUUAACCAUAAACUAUGCCGACUAGGGAUCGGAUGAUGUUAAUUUUUAAUGUACUCAUUCGGCGCCUUAC